Molecule: ribosomal RNA, 303 nt
Filed under: uncultured bacterium
Lineage: Bacteria
Description: partial 16S ribosomal RNA
Rfam family: Bacterial small subunit ribosomal RNA
Source: RNAcentral
AGCAGUAGCCGCGGGAAUACGUAGGUGGCAAGCGUUGUCCGGAAUUAUUGGGCGUAAAGGGCUCGCAGGCGGUUUCUUAAGUCUGAUGUGAAAGCCCCCGGCUCAACCGGGGAGGGUCAUUAGAAACUGGGAAACUUGAGUGCAGAAGAGGAGAGUGGAAUUCCACGUGUAGCGGUGAAAUGCGUAGAGAUGUGGAGGAACACCAGUGGCGAAGGCGACUCUCUGGUCUGUAACUGACGCUGAGGAGCGAAAGUGUGGGGAGCGAACAGGAUUAGAUACCCCAGUAGUCCCUGUCUCUUAUAC